RNAcentral lists this long non-coding RNA (855 nucleotides) under Ananas comosus (pineapple). RNAcentral's name for it is "long non-coding RNA (ACOM_LNC032868)". Lineage: Eukaryota; Viridiplantae; Streptophyta; Magnoliopsida; Poales; Bromeliaceae. The record is from RNAcentral.
AUUUUUAAUUUUUAAUUUUUAAUUUGAAUUUAAAUUAAUAUAUUAUAAAGAUAAUGUUAGUAUAUUAAUUUGAUUACAUUUUUUAUAUCCACCUGAACCAAACACCGACAAUGGGAAUGAUUUAUUCCGAUUCCGAUUCAGGUGAUGAACCAAACAGAAUUAGGUAAUGAGUCAUUCCGAUUCCGAUUCCAGCUUAUUUUGAUUCCGAUUCCGAUUUCGAUUCCGACUUCGAGCCAAACGCGUCCUUAGAUUCCACUCCAAGGGUUUCUUAUAAACUGUUGAUAUGUCGAUCGAUCCAUGUAACAUAUCGAAUUAUAACACAAGUGAACCAAGUAAAACUCUUCGCAUUAUAUUUACGACAUUAUAUCAGCAGCAUAUAAGGACAAUAUUUCAGGGGAACUUGUACGUAGUAGUACUCAUCCAAUUUUUGCUCUCCAAUUUAAACAAAUAUUGGUCAUUUCGGAUGAUCACACUGGAGGUCAUUUCGGAUGACCACAUUGGCUAGUCUAGUAGCUGUUGUCGAGGUUGCCGUCUUCGAGGUCGGAGAUUCAAUCUCUACUUACUCUUUCACAACCCAGAGUAUUACAAUAGAGGGCAACAUAGGGAUGCAAAUGGAUCCGGGUUGGUGGAGCUUCCGCCCCGAUCUGCAUCGAAUAGGGCGGUGAGUGGGAAUAAAAAAAGUAUAUAGGAAAGUAUAUUCUGUCCUGAUCUGUUGAGUAAAUAGAGCAUAAGGGAGCGGUAAGUGAGGGCCAAAAAUAGAAUUAGAAUUAACAUGCUCCGAAUCCGCCUGAUCCGAUAAGAAAUGGAGCGGAAAGUGGCAGACCGCUGCCGUCCUCCAAUCCGCCUAGUUUUCAU